GUCGAGCGAUCUUCUUCGGAAGAGAGCGGCGGACGGGUGAGUAACGCGUGGGUAACCUGCCCUGUACACACGGAUAACAUACCGAAAGGUAUGCUAAUACGGGAUAACAUAAGAAAGUCGCAUGGAUUUCUUAUCAAAGCUUUUGCGGUACAGGAUGGACCCGCGUCUGAUUAGCUAGUUGGUAAGGUAACGGCUUACCAAGGCGACGAUCAGUAGCCGACCUGAGAGGGUGAUCGGCCACAUUGGAACUGAGACACGGUCCAAACUCCUACGGGAGGCAGCAGUGGGGAAUAUUGCACAAUGGGCGAAAGCCUGAUGCAGCAACGCCGCGUGAGCGAUGAAGGCCUUCGGGUCGUAAAGCUCUGUCCUCAAGGAAGAUAAUGACGGUACUUGAGGAGGAAGCCCCGGCUAACUACGUGCCAGCAGCCGCGGUAAUACGUAGGGGGCUAGCGUUAUCCGGAAUUACUGGGCGUAAAGGGUGCGUAGGCGGUCUUUCAAGUCAGAAGUGAAAGGCUACGGCUCAACCGUAGUAAGCUUUUGAAACUGUAAGACUUGAGUGCAGGAGAGGAGAGUGGAAUUCCUAGUGUAGCGGUGAAAUGCGUAGAUAUUAGGAGGAACACCAGUUGCGAAGGCGGCUCUC
RNAcentral lists this ribosomal RNA (640 nucleotides) under uncultured Clostridium sp. RNAcentral's name for it is "bacterial SSU rRNA". It matches the Rfam family "Bacterial small subunit ribosomal RNA", at positions 61 to 729 of the family's 1533-position model. The record is from RNAcentral. Lineage: Bacteria; Bacillati; Bacillota; Clostridia; Eubacteriales; Clostridiaceae.